GUUGAGAUGGCCGAGUUGGUCUAAGGCGCCAAAUUAAGGUUUUGGUCCGAAAGGGUGUGGGUUCAAAUCCCACUCUCAAUA
Molecule: transfer RNA, 81 nt
Organism: Ipomoea nil (Japanese morning glory)
Lineage: Eukaryota; Viridiplantae; Streptophyta; Magnoliopsida; Solanales; Convolvulaceae
Rfam family: tRNA
About the family: Transfer RNA (tRNA) molecules are approximately 80 nucleotides in length. Their secondary structure includes four short double-helical elements and three loops (D, anti-codon, and T loops). Further hydrogen bonds mediate the characteristic L-shaped molecular structure. tRNAs have two regions of fundamental functional importance: the anti-codon, which is responsible for specific mRNA codon recognition, and the 3' end, to which the tRNAs corresponding amino acid is attached (by aminoacyl-tRNA synthetases). tRNAs cope with the degeneracy of the genetic code in two manners: having more than one tRNA (with a specific anti-codon) for a particular amino acid; and 'wobble' base-pairing, i.e. permitting non-standard base-pairing at the 3rd anti-codon position.
Source: Rfam